CAGACGCGUCCCCCGCCCGUAACGAGCUUCUGGUUUAGCCAACAUUUUCAAGGUUUCCCAAAGCAGAAGAUUUUUCCAAACGAACCAUCGUCAAGGUUUCCAGCUGGGCGCGUUCCCUUGGGACCUCCGACCCGAAUUCAGCCCGCCGGAGACUCCCGCUGUGCAGGCGAGAAUUCGCAGUCCCCUAAGCCAGGAAGGAUUUCUCCCGAACAGAACAUAAAAGAAAACAUAGCUGGAGGUACCCAGACAUUCAACGGGAGACUCCGUUUCGGCAAGAAUGGAGUCGUCCAGAAGAAUCCCUCCUGGAAGGGCAGCGCGAAUCAGAACGCAGGUCGCCAAGGUGACAGUGGCAGAACUAAAAGAUCCCGGGGAGUCGGGAUUGUCGGAGUCGGGCUGUGAAGUGCCCGACAGGAAGUUGGAAGAUGUGAGAUGAAAGGAGCGUUUUGCCGUGAUACCAAACGGAGCCCAAAGGCCCGGCGCUAAGAAACUUUAUCUCGAGGGAAAAAACCCAAGGAAAUCUGCACCGGGAAACAGAUCCGCCUCACAGUACACUGAAGCUUUAGAGGAUUGCUCCGAACGGAAAAGUCAGAAACAAUCAAUUUCAAAAACGAAUUGCGGAACUGACACGGAAGUGAAAACCCUCUUCUUUCUAAACUGUCACGGGCGACGAGCGAAUGUAUUAUUUUGAAAGGCUGCGUCUUGGGUGACGCCGUGAAUUCCAUUUCUUCAUUCGAGUUAUUUACCAAGUGAUUAGACCGGAGAAAUUAAUUAGAAUUUUAUGAGGUCAUUUUUCUGGUAACCUAAAAAAAAAAUGGACUGCAUCAAUUGUGCCUAUUUACUGCCAUUAUUCAAUAUUGAUUUUGCUUUAUGAUCUUA
Long non-coding RNA from Ornithorhynchus anatinus (platypus), 876 nucleotides. RefSeq lists it as uncharacterized. The transcript is spliced from 2 exons. The record is from RefSeq and is a predicted model, not a curated record. Lineage: Eukaryota; Metazoa; Chordata; Mammalia; Monotremata; Ornithorhynchidae.